This 496-nucleotide ribosomal RNA is filed under the name uncultured bacterium. RNAcentral describes it as "partial 16S ribosomal RNA". It matches the Rfam family "Bacterial small subunit ribosomal RNA", at positions 29 to 507 of the family's 1533-position model. The record is from RNAcentral.
AUGAACGCUGGCCGCGUGCCUAAUACAUGCAAGUCGAGCGAACGGACGAGAAGCUUGCUUUUCUGAUGUUAGCGGCGGACGGGUGAGUAACACGUGGAUAACCUACCUAUAAGACUGGGAUAACUUCGGGAAACCGGAGCUAAUACCGGAUAAUAUUUUGAACCGCAUGGUUCAAAAGUGAAAGACGGUCUUGCUGGCACUUAUAGAUGGAUCCGCGCUGCAUUAGCUAGUUGGUAAGGUAACGGCUUACCAAGGCAACGAUGCAUAGCCGACCUGAGAGGGUGAUCGGCCACACUGGAACUGAGACACGGUCCAGACUCCUACGGGAGGCAGCAGUAGGGAAUCUUCCGCAAUGGGCGAAAGCCUGACGGAGCAACGCCGCGUGAGUGAUGAAGGUCUUCGGAUCGUAAAACUCUGUUAUUAGGGAAGAACAUAUGUGUAAGUAACUGUGCACAUCUUGACGGUACCUAAUCAGAAAGCCACGGCUAACUACGUG